This is a long non-coding RNA of Rhododendron vialii, 391 nucleotides long. RefSeq lists it as uncharacterized. The transcript has 3 exons. Lineage: Eukaryota; Viridiplantae; Streptophyta; Magnoliopsida; Ericales; Ericaceae. The record is from RefSeq and is a predicted model, not a curated record.
GAAACUCUUGCAAGGAGGGGACGUCUCAAAUUGGAUGAUCGAUGGUCUAGCUCGUAUGUUAACAAUCCAGCUGGAAAAAGAUAAGCUUAACCAUGGUAACGUUGCAUAUUUCCCAUGCACCAUCUGGACUAUACUGCACAACGAGAAAAGCGACAUGAGAACAGUUCUGCUAGACCAAAAGCUCCAUCGUGUGUUUGAAAACGUUCGGCAACAUGGGACUACAUAUUAUUGGUACUUGGUAUUCCCUAUGAAUGGCAGCGGGGACAAACCGCUAAAAUUUAGUCCGUACCAUUAGACCAUUCUUUUCUAUGAUGUUAGGAAAAAGAAAUGGAUGCACUACAAUUCGUUGAAGAAGAGAGACGGCAGAGAUCCAAUUCUGAAAGACGCUACC